GGCGAACGGGUGAGUAACACGUGGGUGACCUGCCCUCAGCUCUGGGAUAAGCCUGGGAAACUGGGUCUAAUACCGGAUAUGACUUCGCAUCGCAUGGUGUGGGGUGGAAAGUUUUUUCGGCUGGGGAUGGGCCCGCGGCCUAUCAGCUUGUUGGUGGGGUGAUGGCCUACCAAGGCGACGACGGGUAGCCGGCCUGAGAGGGCGACCGGCCACACUGGGACUGAGACACGGUCCAGACUCCUACGGGAGGCAGCAGUGGGGAAUAUUGCGCAAUGGGCGGAAGCCUGACGCAGCGACGCCGCGUGGGGGAUGACGGCCUUCGGGUUGUAAACCUCUUUCGACCUCGACGAAGCCUUUGGGGUGACGGUAGGGGUAGAAGAAGCACCGGCCAACUACGUGCCAGCCGCCGCGG
This 412-nucleotide ribosomal RNA is filed under the name uncultured bacterium. RNAcentral's name for it is "bacterial SSU rRNA". It matches the Rfam family "Bacterial small subunit ribosomal RNA", at positions 97 to 520 of the family's 1533-position model. The record is from RNAcentral.